RNAcentral lists this transfer-messenger RNA (353 nucleotides) under Chloroflexota (GNS bacteria). RNAcentral's name for it is "CF-39 sp005887995 Standard tmRNA". It matches the Rfam family "transfer-messenger RNA". From Rfam's summary of the family: Bacterial tmRNA, also known as 10Sa RNA or SsrA, is named for its dual tRNA and mRNA-like properties. Its role is to liberate the mRNA from a stalled ribosome. Lineage: Bacteria; Bacillati. The record is from RNAcentral. RNAcentral also lists the same sequence under 1 other name.
GGGGAUGCGUGGUUUCGACAGGGUCAGCGGCGAGAUCGCUGCGAGCCGAGGACGCCGUUUCACCCUCGUUAAUCAGGACGGCAGCCAGACAACUGGCAACUCUUACGCACUCGCUGCCUAACUAGCAGUGACGUCCCCCCGGUCUCCCCUCCGCGGGCCGGGGAGGACGAUGAAGCGGAGGUGCGGCCCGCCCGAUGGUCGGUAAGCGGGAAUAAGUCAGCCGACCUGGAGCGAUCCGAGAGCGCGUCGGUGCGCGCUCGGGUCCUCGAGAAAAGAAAUCGCCGGCCACGCUCGUAGACGCGGUCUCGGCAAAGGCCUUGGACGGGGAGUUCGACCCUCCCCCAUCUCCACAG